Long non-coding RNA from Triticum dicoccoides, 1351 nucleotides. RefSeq lists it as uncharacterized. The transcript is spliced from 2 exons. NCBI's taxonomy places the organism in Eukaryota, Viridiplantae, Streptophyta, Magnoliopsida, Poales, Poaceae. The record is from RefSeq and is a predicted model, not a curated record.
AGCAACCCACUCCAUUACGCGAAUCAGACUGAAGCGAGCGGAAAAAGUUUGUCGUUGCUCCCUCACCCGCCCCCGCGUCGCUCCCUUGGGGCGACUCGGGCGGCCCCCAACCCUAGCCCGCCGCCGGCCUCUCCCCUCCUCCCUCCCGACCUUGCCGCCACCGGAGACAGCUGCCGGCAAGCCCGCGCGGCGCCGAGGAAGGUGGCGGCGAGGCUUGCCGCUCCUGCCUCGCGCGGAGGGCAUGGUGUGCCGGGGUGGCGGCCCCGGUCAAGGUGGGCAGCGUUGUUCCCUGCGGCGGACGGCGGCUGCGGGUGCUCGGCUGGGCUCCUCGGCUUGCUUGGGCGGCGAGGCCCCGGUGGAUGGAGCUCGCGGUGGCCGGAUUUCCUCCGUCGGUCGGCCUCCAGAUCUGAACCGGCCAGCUCCAAAUCCACCCUCCUCACCUUCUCCCGUUCGAUCUAAGCUCCGGUGCGGCCCUGCUCGCCGGAUCCGGUGGUUGCCGGUGUUUUGGCGGUGGGGCUCCUGGGACCGGGGGAAACCCUUGGCCGCCGCCGGCGGCCACAACCACGACGAUGCCGCGGCGUCGAACUACUUCUUGGAGGCUUCGUUGAGUAACGAAGGCUGCUGUCGAGCAACAGUAUGAUACAGACGGGAAAAAUGGCUACAGUAAGCAGGCAUUUCUGCAGUGUAAACAGAGCAGGGAAUUACAACGGUUGGCGAACCACGCAUUAAUUGAUCAGCACGUCACCUGCAGAAGCAACACCGCAAAUCGAUGGAGCAACGUGGUGAGAUCUCAGUUGUAGUUCCCACUCGAAUCAGAAACAACUAGUGAUGGGGCGUACCAUAGCAGGUGAUGGGGGCGGUGGGGAAAGACAGGCGGCUAAGAAGUAGGGCGCGGCUCUGCUCACCCAUCUCGGCGGAGCCAUGCAGCUAAAGCACGAGCUCGCCCUUCGGCGUCGCAGCAGAGGGAGGCGACAUCCUGACUGACGGUGGUUUGUGCUGAUGAAGGGUGCGGGAAGGGAAACGAGUAAGGGCGUGGGAGGCGUGGGCUCUGCGUGACGAAGAUGGCGGCAGCGUGCCGUGCCGUGCGGCCGAACAUGCCCUCACCCUACCCCGUUGUCGUUGCGGUGGGGCGGGAGCGACCACGAAGGGCGCCGGCCGGGCGGCGUCCCUUCGCAGAUUGCAUUGCUUUUCUAUCUGGGUCUUUCUAGGACACAUCUAGAUGUGAUAUAGUUAUGUCACAUCUAAACUGAUGUCCACUUUGCUUGUGGUUUAAUUUUUUUUCUUGUUAAUGAAUUAUAUAUUUGUGAGAGCUUAGAUGUGACAUCCUUAAAAAACAUCUAGAUGUGAAUUA